This 393-nucleotide long non-coding RNA is filed under the name Parus major (Great Tit). RNAcentral describes it as "lncRNA (ENSPMJG00000018731.1)". The record is from RNAcentral. Lineage: Eukaryota; Metazoa; Chordata; Aves; Passeriformes; Paridae.
AUUAAGCAGAGGUUUAUUUCAAUGAAGGUAACAACCCUCUCCAAGUGGGACUUGUUUUGCACAGAGCUGUGGAUCAUUCCUUUAUCUCCUCUAGAGAUGUAACUUGAAAACUUACUCUACAAAUAAUUAUUUUUACACCUUGAAAGUGGUGCUAAACUCAAGACCCCGAUUGAGCUGUCAUCAGCUAAACAAGUUCAAAACAAGAACUGCAAGAAAGGAGAAGUGCCUUCUGUUUGGACAGGUUCAGCCAAUUUCAGGUCAGACUAAGGACUUGAGGAUCCUCAUCACUCUUUCCUUGCAGGUCCAGGUAAUCCCACAGGAGUCUGGCCAAACUCCAUAAAGCUCCAUGGAAGCAGACUGGGACACUUCACUGAGGUGAGGCUGAAACUGGAC